RNAcentral lists this ribosomal RNA (253 nucleotides) under uncultured bacterium. RNAcentral's name for it is "partial 16S ribosomal RNA". It matches the Rfam family "Bacterial small subunit ribosomal RNA", at positions 524 to 776 of the family's 1533-position model. The record is from RNAcentral.
AACGUAGGUGGCGAGCGUUAUCCGGAUUUACUGGGCGUAAAGGGUGUGCAGGCGGGCUGUUAAGUGGUGUGUGAAACAUCCCGGCUCAACCGGGAGAGGUUAUGCCAGACUGGCAGUCUAGAGAGCGAGAGAGGGACGUGGAAUUCCGGGUGUAGUGGUGAAAUGCGUAGAGAUCCGGAGGAACCCCAGAGGCGAAGGCGGCGUCCUGGCUCGCAUCUGACGCUCAGACACGACAGCAUGGGGAGCGAACGGG